GUGAAAGCCCGGGGCUCAACCUCGGAACCGCAUUUGAAACUGGCAGGCUAGAGUCUUGUAGAGGGGGGUAGAAUUUCAGGUGUAGCGGUGAAAUGCGUAGAGAUCUGAAGGAAUACCAGUGGCGAAGGCGGCCCCCUGGACAAAGACUGACGCUCAGAUGCGAAAGCGUGGGUAGCAAACAGGAUUAGAUACCCUGGUAGUCCACGCCGUAAACGCUGUCUACUUGGAGGUUGAGGUUUAAGACUUUGGCUUUCGGCGCUAACGCAUUAAGUAGACCGCCUGGGGAGUACGGCCGCAAGGUUAAAACUCAAAUGAAUUGACGGGGGCCCGCACAAGCGGCGGAGCAUGUGGUUUAAUUCGAUGCAACGCGAAGAACCUUACCUACUCUUGACAUCCAGAGAACUUUCCAGAGAUGGAUUGGUGCCUUCGGGAACUCUGAGACAGGUGCUGCAUGGCUGUCGUCAGCUCGUGUUGUGAAAUGUUGGGUUAAGUCCCGCAACGAGCGCAACCCUUAUCCUUGUUUGCCAGCACGUAAUGGUGGGAACUCCAGGGAGACUGCCGGUGAUAAACCGGAGGAAGGUGGGGGCGACGUCAAGUCAUCAUGGCCCUUACGAGUAGGGCUACACACGUGCUACAAUGGCAGAUACAGAGGGCAGCGAAGCUGCGAAGUGGAGCGAAUCCCUUAAAGUUUGUCGUAGUCCGGAUUGGAG
Molecule: ribosomal RNA, 710 nt
Filed under: uncultured Salinivibrio sp.
Lineage: Bacteria; Pseudomonadati; Pseudomonadota; Gammaproteobacteria; Vibrionales; Vibrionaceae
Description: bacterial SSU rRNA
Rfam family: Bacterial small subunit ribosomal RNA
Source: RNAcentral